Callorhinus ursinus (northern fur seal) is the source of this 277-nucleotide non-coding RNA. The record is from RefSeq and is a predicted model, not a curated record. NCBI's taxonomy places the organism in Eukaryota, Metazoa, Chordata, Mammalia, Carnivora, Otariidae.
CUCUUGCCACAUUCUAUAUUCUAUUCAUUAUAAUGAGUCAUUAAAACCAGCCAGUGCUUAAGUUGCAGAAAUGAAGGCACAGAGAAGUGCAGUAACUUGCCAAGUGUUACACAGCUUGUCCAACAAUGGAAUCGGCAGUCAAGCCCAGACGAUCCACUUCCGCUCUUAGAUACUACACUUCACUGACUUUCUAAGAAGCGUCAUGGAGAAAAAUACGACCAUUCCUCAGGAAGCAUUAGCAGCAAAAAUACUUGCAGUUCAUCACACUCAAAUUAAG